RNAcentral lists this long non-coding RNA (961 nucleotides) under Diabrotica virgifera virgifera (western corn rootworm). RNAcentral describes it as "uncharacterized LOC114349153". Lineage: Eukaryota; Metazoa; Arthropoda; Insecta; Coleoptera; Chrysomelidae. The record is from RNAcentral.
GAUCGUACUGACCCAUAAAAAGGACAAACGUGUUAUUUUAUUAAGUUUUUAUUUAUAUUAAGUCUAAUAGCUUAACCUCAGCCAAGAAAGUUCUUGUAGUCCAGGGCAAUAAGGUUUUUCCAUGACACUUGAACAGCCAGGGUACUGAAGCGUUUUUCGACAGGCAUUAGCUGUCGAAAAAACGCUUCAGUACCAUGGCUGCUGAAGUGUCACGAACAGAGUAUAUUUUUGUCUUAUUACCCUGGCCUAUUGAUGCUUGAUAAAAGAAAUAUAAAUAAAAGUAAGUCGUUCCCAAGGUGAAGAACUUCAUGGUUUUGUACAGAAGUGAAGGAAAAAUGCAAAGAAAAGAAAGAAGCUUUCCCGAAGUAUACAAGAGGCAUAUGAUAAUUACAUAAGAAAUAAAACCCGUAUGUUUGGAAGAAGAAUAAAAAAAUGAUCACUGGGAACGUUUUUCGAAAGAAAUAGAACAUGAUUUUAAUGGUCUGCAAAAGGAAAUAUGGCGCUUUAUAAGAGGUGAAAGAACGGAGGUAAAGGAACUAAUAUAACCAAAACACAGAAAAGUAGGUAUACAUAGAUUGACUAUCUGAAAAAGCUGCAUGUAGAGGAAGAACAAAGGAGGAAGCUGUAUGCAAAGAAUGGAAAACUGGCAACUAAUUCCAUUAUUCAAAGAAUGAAAUAAGAAACGGCCAGAAAACUACAAAGCUAUAAACUUAUUAAAUACUAGCCUAAAACUUUAAACAACAAUUGUACGAGAUGGUUUACUGUAAAGAGACCGAAAUCAUUAGACCGGAAGCAGUAGACCGAACUCAUUAGACCGAAAAGCACUUUACCGAAACCUCACUAGACCGAACAGCAGAAGACCGAAAAGCAGUUCUUUUUACUUGUCGCAGUAAAAGAGAUAAGACUAAUGUAAUUACAAUUAAAAUGUUAUUUGGAUAGUUAUUAUAAACAGUUAAAAUGG